Molecule: ribosomal RNA, 954 nt
Filed under: uncultured bacterium
Lineage: Bacteria
Description: bacterial SSU rRNA
Rfam family: Bacterial small subunit ribosomal RNA
Source: RNAcentral
UAGAGUUUGAUCCUGGCUCAGGAUGAACGCUAGCUACAGGCUUAACACAUGCAAGUCGAGGGGCAUCAUGGAGUUUGCUUGCAAACUCUGAUGGCGACCGGCGCACGGGUGAGUAACGCGUAUCCAACCUUCCCUAUAGUAGAGGAUAGCCCGGCGAAAGUCGGAUUAAUACUCUAUGUUUUCCGUUGCAGACAUCUAAGAUGGAACAAAGGCUUGCCGCUAUAGGAUGGGGAUGCGUCUGAUUAGGUAGUCGGCGGGGUAACGGCCCACCGAGCCAUCGAUCAGUAGGGGUUCUGAGAGGAAGGUCCCCCACAUUGGAACUGAGACACGGUCCAAACUCCUACGGGAGGCAGCAGUGAGGAAUAUUGGUCAAUGGGCGAGAGCCUGAACCAGCCAAGUAGCGUGCAGGACGACGGCCCUAUGGGUUGUAAACUGCUUUUAUGCGGGGAUAAAGUUCACUACGUGUAGUGUUUUGUAGGUACCGCAUGAAUAAGGACCGGCUAAUUCCGUGCCAGCAGCCGCGGUAAUACGGAAGGUCCGGGCGUUAUCCGGAUUUAUUGGGUUUAAAGGGAGCGCAGGCCGAUGGUUAAGCGUGACGUGAAAUGUAGCCGCUCAACGGCUGAGUUGCGUCGCGAACUGGCUGUCUUGAGUGAGUUCGAUGUGGGCGGAAUUCGUGGUGUAGCGGUGAAAUGCUUAGAUAUCACGAAGAACUCCGAUUGCGAAGGCAGCCCACAAGGCCUUUACUGACGCUAAAGCUCGAAGGUGCGGGUAUCGAACAGGAUUAGAUACCCUGGUAGUCCGCACGGUAAACGAUGAAUGCCCCGCUGUUUGCCAUAUACUGUGGAGCGGCCAAAAAAAUCCUUAACCCCUCCCCCCGGGGGAGUACCCCCGCCACGGUGAAACUCAAAGAAAUUACCGGGGCCCCCCCAACCGGAGGAACCUUGGGUUUAUUUC